CCUACGGGUGGCAGCAGUGAGGAAUAUUGGUCAAUGGGCGCGAGCCUGAACCAGCCAAGUCGCGUGAGGGAAGACGGUCCUCUGGAUUGUAAACCUCUUUUGUCGGGGAGCAAAAGACGCCACGCGUGGCGUUCCGAGAGUACCCGAAGAAAAAGCAUCGGCUAACUCCGUGCCAGCAGCCGCGGUAAUACGGAGGAUGCGAGCGUUAUCCGGAUGUAUUGGGUUUAAAGGGUGCGCAGGCGGAAUAUCAAGUCAGCGGUAAAAUUGAGAGGCUCAACCUCUUCGAGCCGUUGAAACUGGUUUUCUUGAGUGAGCGAGAAGUAUGCGGAAUGCGAGGUGUAGCGGUGAAAUGCAUAGAUAUCACGCAGAACUCCGAUUGCGAAGGCAGCAUACCGGCGCUCAACUGACGCUCAGGCACGGAAGUGUGGGUAGCGAACAGGAUUAGAUACCCCUGUAGUC
RNAcentral lists this ribosomal RNA (459 nucleotides) under uncultured bacterium. RNAcentral's name for it is "partial 16S ribosomal RNA". It matches the Rfam family "Bacterial small subunit ribosomal RNA", at positions 338 to 795 of the family's 1533-position model. The record is from RNAcentral.